This 491-nucleotide ribosomal RNA is filed under the name uncultured bacterium. RNAcentral describes it as "partial 16S ribosomal RNA". It matches the Rfam family "Bacterial small subunit ribosomal RNA", at positions 29 to 507 of the family's 1533-position model. The record is from RNAcentral.
GUGAACGCUGGCGGUAGGCCUAACACCUGCAAGUCGAACGGCAGCACAGUAAGAGCUUGCUCUUACGGGUGGCGAGUGGCGGACGGGUGAGGAAUACAUCGGAAUCUACUUUUUCGUGGGGGAUAACGUAGGGAAACUUACGCUAAUACCGCAUACGACCUACGGGUGAAAGCAGGGGAUCUUCGGACCUUGCGCGAUUGAAUGAGCCGAUGUCGGAUUAGCUAGUUGGCGGGGUAAAGGCCCACCAAGGCGACGAUCCGUAGCUGGUCGGAGAGGAUGAUCGGCCACACGGGAACGUAGACACGGUCCAGACUCCUACGGGAGGCAGCAGUGGGGAAUAUUGGACAAUGGGCGCAAGCCUGAUCCAGCCAUACCGCGUGGGUGAAGAAGGCCUUCGGGUUGUAAAGCCCUUUUGUUGGGAAAGAAAAGCAGCAGGUUAAUACCCCGCUGUUCUGACGGUACCCAAAGAAUAAGCACCGGCUAACUUCGUG